GUUCCUGUAGUGCAAUGGAUAGCGCGUUCGACUUCUAAUCCAAAGGUCGUGGGUUCAAAUCCUACCUGGGAUA
RNAcentral lists this transfer RNA (73 nucleotides) under Trichonephila clavata. It matches the Rfam family "tRNA". Rfam says of the family: Transfer RNA (tRNA) molecules are approximately 80 nucleotides in length. Lineage: Eukaryota; Metazoa; Arthropoda; Arachnida; Araneae; Nephilidae. The record is from Rfam by way of RNAcentral.